This 1357-nucleotide ribosomal RNA is filed under the name uncultured Bacteroidales bacterium. RNAcentral's name for it is "bacterial SSU rRNA". It matches the Rfam family "Bacterial small subunit ribosomal RNA", at positions 28 to 1382 of the family's 1533-position model. The record is from RNAcentral. Lineage: Bacteria; Pseudomonadati; Bacteroidota; Bacteroidia; Bacteroidales.
GAUGAACGCUAGCGACAGGCUUAACACAUGCAAGUCGAGGGGCAACGGGGGUAGCAAUACCUGCCGGCGACCGGCGCACGGGUGAGUAACACGUAUGCAACCUGCCUGCAACCGGAGGACAGCCCGGAGAAAUUCGGAUUAAUACUCCAUGACACGGUUUUACCGCAUGGCAAGACCGUUAAAGAUUUAUUGGUAGCAGAUGGGCAUGCGUUCCAUUAUGGUAGUUGGUAAGGUAAAGGCUUACCAAGCCUUCGAUGGAUAGGGGUACUGAGAGGUAAAUCCCCCACACUGGUACUGAGACACGGACCAGACUCCUACGGGAGGCAGCAGUGAGGAAUAUUGGUCAAUGGGCGAGAGCCUGAACCAGCCAAGUCGCGUGAAGGAUGAAGGUAUUCAGUAUUGUAAACUUCUUUUGCAGGGGAAUAAUAGCCGGGAUGUAUCCCGGAAUGAAUGUACUCUGCGAAUAAGCAUCGGCUAACUCCGUGCCAGCAGCCGCGGUAAUACGGAGGAUGCGAGCGUUAUUCGGAUUUAUUGGGUUUAAAGGGUGCGCAGGCGGAUGAUUAAGUCAGCGGUGAAAUUUCGAUGCUCAACAUCGUAACUGCCGUUGAUACUGGUGAUCUUGAGUGGAACAGAGGCAGGCGGAAUUCGUAGUGUAGCGGUGAAAUGCAUAGAUAUUACGAAGAACGCCGAUAGCGGAGGCAGCUUGCCGGGUUUCAACUGACGCUGAGGCACGAGAGUGUGGGUAUCGAACAGGAUUAGAUACCCUGGUAGUCCACACAGUAAACGAUGAUUACUGACUGUAUGACCUGAUUGGUUGUGCGGUUAAGCGAAAGCGUUAAGUAAUCCACCUGGGGAGUACGCCGGCAACGGUGAAACUCAAAGGAAUUGACGGGGGCCCGCACAAGCGGAGGAACAUGUGGUUUAAUUCGAUGAUACGCGAGGAACCUUACCCGGGUUUGAAAUGCAGGGGCAUGGCGAUGAAAGUCGUCAGUCAGCAAUGACCCCUGUGCAGGUGCUGCAUGGUUGUCGUCAGCUCGUGCCGUGAGGUGUCGGCUUAAGUGCCAUAACGAGCGCAACCCUUACCGUCAGUUACUAACAGGCAAAGCUGAGGACUCUGGCGGGACUGCCGCCGUAAGGUGAGAGGAAGGUGGGGAUGACGUCAAAUCAGCACGGCCCUUACGUCCGGGGCGACACACGUGUUACAAUGGGGGGUACAACGGGUUGCUACCUGGCAACAGGAUGCGAAUCUCAAAAACCCCUCCCAGUUCGGAUCGAAGUCUGCAACCCGACUUCGUGAAGCUGGAUUCGCUAGUAAUCGCGCAUCAGCCAUGGCGCGGUGAAUACGUUCCCGGGCCUU